CAGUACUUGACUGAUGCAAAAUAGGUAUUAAAUAAAUAUUUGAUUAAUAAAAAUUGAGAAGAGUAUUAAAAACUUCUUUUAAUUUUAAUUUUUUCUCAGACCUCUCAGAGAUGAAGAAUAUUAAAAGCUUUAAAAGAUAAGGAAGCAUCACAAACCCACAGAGUCCCUGAGAGAUGGAUUUUACUGGGAGGCGGAAUGCUAACUUUGCUCAAAGAUGUGUAAAUGCCACGUGCCCAGAUGGUCCUUUUGCCUAUUCAUAGGGAGAGGCUCAGAAACACACAUGCAUCUUUCUGUGGCAGCCUGAAGCAGAUGGACGAGCGGAAACCAUGUCACAAGAAGACAUAACUAGAUA
Molecule: long non-coding RNA, 352 nt
Filed under: Papio anubis (olive baboon)
Lineage: Eukaryota; Metazoa; Chordata; Mammalia; Primates; Cercopithecidae
Description: lncRNA (ENSPANG00000045048.1)
Source: RNAcentral